CCCACUGCCCCUCCCAGCCUGGAGUCCCCUCAACCUAGAGCUCUGGAAAGGAGGAUGCCCUUUCCCUCCCUCCCAUGCUGAGAAGCCCAUCAUCACCAACCCCACACAAGGCCUUUCUUUGUCUUGGCCAGUUGAGGACAGAAGGGGAAGCACCUGCUUUCAAUGUCUGGUAUGACCUGGAGACAAAUGGGUCCCCACGGUCCUCCCCACUCUCACAGUGGGCCCUGGGGGUGGCUAAAGCUUGAAGGUGACAAUUCCUGACCAGUUUGAAGGCAGAGACAGGUCCCAGCCCUUCGCGGCUCUACCAUAAAUUCACCAGUUACUGGGCCAGGCUCUCAUCUACCACCCGAAUGCGACAGGUGGGGUUAAUAGCCCUAUUUUGGCUGAGCAAACAGUCUCGGAGAGGUCAGGCGACUCGCCCAAGACCAGAACCAAAGCCAAGUCCCCGUGACUAGGGCUGAACGUGAGGCACUUCCAUCGCUUCCAUCACUGCAGCGUGGGCCCCAGGAGAGGAGGUGCAGCCUUCUGGGCAGACUUGGAGGAGGAGGAGAGGCUCAGGGCUGGGAAAGGGGCGGCCAGGAGCAGAGAGGAAGAAGGCUGGGGUCGGGUGUGGCCUAGACAGCACGAUCCUGGGAUUCGAAGGCGGGGUGGAGUGAGCCCAACUCGGGAGGGGCCCUCGGCCAGCCCUGCCACUGCCCGGCCCACAGCGCGUCCCCGGCCACCCCCAGACUGGCAGGACUGGGGGAGGACAUGCAGAGCCUGGGAGCCUAGAUGUAAGGCUUCUCCAGUCAAAGCGCUUAUCACAUCAUGAGAGCGUGGUCUCUGGGGCACACACACACAACUCAUACAUGAGACUGGAUCUCAGCACCUAGGUGUGCAGUAAGAGCUUGCUGUGUGAAUGAGUGCUGGGUGCGAAGAGUGAAAUUAGCAACAGCCUCCGGAAGGAGUUGGGCAUUGCCACGAAGGUUCUGCCUUUGAUUAGAUCUAUCGGCAGGUUUUUGGCUGAGAAUUCACAGACCUGUGGAUCAGGUUAACAUGUGAAGGGUUAAUGCUGACUCCUCUGACCUGCUUAGUCCCAAGGAGCCACGUAUUCUAAGUUGCCAGGUGAGUGUUC
Molecule: long non-coding RNA, 1114 nt
Filed under: Cervus hanglu yarkandensis (Yarkand deer)
Lineage: Eukaryota; Metazoa; Chordata; Mammalia; Artiodactyla; Cervidae
Description: lncRNA (ENSCHYG00000003853.1)
Source: RNAcentral